RNAcentral lists this non-coding RNA (23 nucleotides) under Arabidopsis thaliana (thale cress). The record is from RNAcentral. Lineage: Eukaryota; Viridiplantae; Streptophyta; Magnoliopsida; Brassicales; Brassicaceae.
AGUGUUGAGUCGGCGGUGAGAAG